This 77-nucleotide non-coding RNA is filed under the name unclassified sequences. RNAcentral's name for it is "DUF3800-VIII RNA". It matches the Rfam family "DUF3800-VIII RNA". From Rfam's summary of the family: Bacteroidetes, Cyanobacteria, Firmicutes, Planctomycetes (1 example), Proteobacteria, Tenericutes (1 example). Nearby to DUF3800 The record is from Rfam by way of RNAcentral.
UUGGCCCUAUUUCUUGCGAAGUCUCAAGUUCCACUUGGGAUAGACCCCCACAGAGGGGCUAGCAGAAAUGGGGCUUA